AGUGAACGCUGGCGGUAGGCCUAACACAUGCAAGUCGAACGGCAGCACAGUAAGAGCUUGCUCUUACGGGUGGCGCGUGGCGGACGGGUGCGGAAUACAUCGGAAUCUACUUUUUCGUGGGUGAUAACGUAGGGAAACUUACGCUAAUACCGCAUACGACCUACGGGUGAAAGCAGGGGAUCUUCGGACCUUGCGCGAUUGAAUGAGCCGAUGUCGGAUUAGCUAGUUGGCGGGGUAAAGGCCCACCAAGGCGACGAUCCGAAGCUGGUCUGAGAGGAUGAUCAGCCACACUGGAACUGAGACACGGUCCAGACUCCUACGGGAGGCAGCAGUGGGGAAUAUUGGACAAUGCGCGCAAGCCUGAUCCAGCCAUACCGCGUGGGUGAAGAAGGCCUUCGGGUUGUAAAGCCCUUUUGUUGGGAAAGAAAAGCAGCAGGUUAAUACCCCGCUGUUCUGACGGUACCCAAAGAAUAAGCACCGGCUAACUUCGUG
This 492-nucleotide ribosomal RNA is filed under the name uncultured bacterium. Its description in RNAcentral is "partial 16S ribosomal RNA". It matches the Rfam family "Bacterial small subunit ribosomal RNA", at positions 29 to 507 of the family's 1533-position model. The record is from RNAcentral.